UACGUAGGGUGCUAGCGUUGUUCGGAAUCAUUGGGCGUAAAGCGCGUGUAGGCGGUUAGGUAAGUCUUGUGUGAAAUCCCUGGGCUCAACCGAGGAAGUGCAUGGGAAACUACCUAGCUAGAAGACGGUAGAGGAAGGUGGAAUUCCUAGUGUAGAGGUGAAAUUCGUAGAUAUUAGGAGGAAUACCGGUGGCGAAGGCGGCCUUCUGGGCCGAUCUUGACGCUGAGACGCGAAAGCGUGGGUAGCAAACAGG
This 253-nucleotide ribosomal RNA is filed under the name uncultured bacterium. Its description in RNAcentral is "partial 16S ribosomal RNA". It matches the Rfam family "Bacterial small subunit ribosomal RNA", at positions 524 to 776 of the family's 1533-position model. The record is from RNAcentral.